GAAGAUGCAUCAGUUCCCAGGUCUUUUGACUAUAUAGAUAGUGGAUUUUCAGUUUCUCAAAGCUUUGUCAAAACAGGUGUGUAAUAGAAGUGCGUUAUAGAAGUUCUCAACUAUGAUAAUUCUUUCACAAGUGUGUUCUGCUGCCAGUCAGAUGCUCGUGUUCUUUGAUGAUCCGGAUGUCUUUUAUGGUGUUAUGGGCAUCAGAUAAAGUCAAAAGUCAAUUCUGGAUCUAGCUACUUGAUCUUCUCUGCUGUUUUCCCAUGGUUAUCAUGCCAACUUUGUUUUGUUUAGUGGUGAAUAAAUGUGUGGACCACACGGUGAUAGUAAUAGAGGAUUAGUUUUGGGAACUUCAAUGGCUUGUAUCCGGUAUUCAUUCCUGUGAACCUUGUUUCUUGGUCCUUUUGGUGCUUGCAACUCCAAGAUGGAUAUUGCUAGGCUUCGACCAAAAUUGGGGUUUUCGAUCUUGUCUCUUGCAUAUCUAGUGAUUUCUUAGGUGAUAUGGAUUUUGUCAGCUUUGUACUUAACUGGUCCCUUCUUCUUGUUCUUGUAGUUGGGUCUGACAAAGCAAUGAAUUAUUCUUUUGAUGGAGGGACAUUGUUU
RNAcentral lists this long non-coding RNA (600 nucleotides) under Solanum tuberosum (potato). RNAcentral describes it as "long non-coding RNA (STUB_LNC007129)". The record is from RNAcentral. Lineage: Eukaryota; Viridiplantae; Streptophyta; Magnoliopsida; Solanales; Solanaceae.